Molecule: long non-coding RNA, 589 nt
Filed under: Glycine max (soybean)
Lineage: Eukaryota; Viridiplantae; Streptophyta; Magnoliopsida; Fabales; Fabaceae
Description: long non-coding RNA (GMAX_LNC001372)
Source: RNAcentral
GUAGAUUGGGCACAUGAUCUUGUUUUCAUUGGAAACCUCAAGGGUGUUUUCACCGUUUUCGUCGUCCUGGUAGACUUUGAUGAUCCAAGCUUGAAAAAAAUGAUAAUUCUUCAAACAAUCCUAAAUGGUAAACCCAACUUCCACACAAAUAUACUUAACUUAUCUAGCAAAUAACACUUUUAGAGAGGAAGAUGUUUCAAAUUACUUAAGGUUAUUACUCUUGAAAGUUGUUUAACUUUAGGUUUGAUUGCAAAUGGGUCAAUAAUUCAGAAUGCAUAGUUUGACACAAGUAUAAUUUUGGUUUUUAAUUCUAUUGUUGAAAAAAGUAUGGUUCAAUCCAAGACGUGAGGAUCUCAUACCAAUAGAAGUUGCAUUUAAUUUAUUUUAUUAUUAUUAUCAUCAUCUUGAGUUUGUUUUGAAUGUGCUAGUUUCUCUUGUGAUUUGUUGAUAGCAGUAUCAACAACCAACAAGUAGAAUGAUGAGUUUCAUAUGAGCAUGUGGAUCUGGAGGUGGAGGAGGAUAAGAAGAAUAAGAUUAGGAGGAGAAAGAAUAAUUCAAUAUGUAAGGUGUAUGGUAUAAAUGUGUGGAC